GUAGGGAAUAUUGCGCAAUGGGCGAAAGCCUGACGCAGCGAUGCCGCGUGAGUGACGAAGGUCUUAGGAUUGUAAAGCUCUUUUCUGAGGGAAGAACGGUCCGGGCAGGAAAUGGUCCGGGCGUGACGGUACCUCAGGAAUAAGGAACGGCUAACUCCGUGCCAGCAGCCGCGGUAAUACGGAGGUUCCAAGCGUUGUUCGGAAUUACUGGGCGUAAAGGGAGCGCAGGCGGACAGGUCAGUUUAAAGUGGAAUCCCAGGGCUCAACCCUGGACGUGCUUUGGAUACUGCCUGUCUUGAGUUCGUGAGAGGAAAGUGGAAUUCAGGGUGUAGCGGUGAAAUGCUUAGAUAUCCUGAGGAACACCAGUGGCGAAAGCGACUUUCUGGCACGAAACUGACGCUGAGGCUCGAAAGCAUGGGUAGCGAACGGGAUUAGAAACCCCAGUAGUCC
This 450-nucleotide ribosomal RNA is filed under the name uncultured bacterium. Its description in RNAcentral is "bacterial SSU rRNA". It matches the Rfam family "Bacterial small subunit ribosomal RNA", at positions 354 to 796 of the family's 1533-position model. The record is from RNAcentral.